UAAAGAUACUAAAAUGAUAUUCAAACUUCAUUUGGUCUCUGGUGGAAAAUAGUCUCAAUCAUACCACCGUAAAUCUUGUUUUUUAUAUAUGAUUAUCCGAAAACAAAGUGACUUUCCAAUGGCAAAUAAAAAAAUAAAAAAAAAACCAAAAGCGAUAAAAAGACAAACAACUGUACACAAUACACAACAUAGCAAACUUAAGAAUGAGCAAACGAACCUCACCGAAAACUGAAGGUUAUCUCAGACCGAC
Molecule: long non-coding RNA, 250 nt
Filed under: Mytilus galloprovincialis (Mediterranean mussel)
Lineage: Eukaryota; Metazoa; Mollusca; Bivalvia; Mytilida; Mytilidae
Source: RNAcentral